This 639-nucleotide ribosomal RNA is filed under the name uncultured Trichococcus sp. RNAcentral describes it as "bacterial SSU rRNA". It matches the Rfam family "Bacterial small subunit ribosomal RNA", at positions 8 to 617 of the family's 1533-position model. The record is from RNAcentral. Lineage: Bacteria; Bacillati; Bacillota; Bacilli; Lactobacillales; Carnobacteriaceae.
AGAGUUUGAUCCUGGCUCAGGACGAACGCUGGCGGCGUGCCUAAUACAUGCAAGUCGAACGGUCUUUUCUAUGGAAGCUUGCUUCCACUGAGAAGAUAGUGGCGAACGGGUGAGUAACACGUGGGUAACCUGCCCAUAAGAGGGGGAUAACAUCCGGAAACGGGUGCUAAUACCGCAUAGUUUUCUUGAUCGCAUGAUCGAGAAAGGAAAGACGGCCUUUGUGCUGUCGCUUAUGGAUGGACCCGCGGCGUAUUAGUUAGUUGGUGAGGUAAUGGCUCACCAAGACGAUGAUACGUAGCCGACCUGAGAGGGUGAUCGGCCACAUUGGGACUGAGACACGGCCCAAACUCCUACGGGAGGCAGCAGUAGGGAAUCUUCCGCAAUGGACGAAAGUCUGACGGAGCAACGCCGCGUGAGUGAAGAAGGUUUUCGGAUCGUAAAACUCUGUUGUCAGAGAAGAACAAGUCGGAGAGUAACUGCUCCGGCCUUGACGGUAUCUGACCAGAAAGCCACGGCUAACUACGUGCCAGCAGCCGCGGUAAUACGUAGGUGGCAAGCGUUGUCCSGGAUUUAUUGGGGCGUAAAGCGAGCGCAGGCGGUUCCUUWAGUCUGAUGUGAAAGCCCACGGGCUCAACCGUG